UCGAGGAUCUUUUGCAAUGGGCGAAAGCCUGACAAAGCGACGCCGUGUGAACGAAGAAGGCCUUCGGGUUGUAAAGUUCUUUCGCAUGGGAACAAGAAAAGCAUACAAAUAGUGUGUUAAUUUGAGAGUACCGUGUAAAGAAGCACCGGCUAACUCCGUGCCAGCAGCUGCGGUAAUACGGAGGGUGCAAGCAUUAAUCGGAAUAACUGGGCGUAAAGGGCGCGUAGGCGUUUAAGUAAGUUGUAUGUGAAAUUUCAUAGCUUAACUAUGGAGCGGCAUACAAAACUACUUGAAUAGAGGAUAGGUGAGGAAAAGGGAAUUCCACGUGUAGCGGUGAAAUGCGUAGAUAUGUGGAGGAACACCAGAGGCGAAGGCGCUUUUCUAACCUAUACCUGACGCUGAGGCGCGAAAGCAAGGGGAGCAAACAGG
This 429-nucleotide ribosomal RNA is filed under the name uncultured bacterium. RNAcentral describes it as "bacterial SSU rRNA". It matches the Rfam family "Bacterial small subunit ribosomal RNA", at positions 355 to 776 of the family's 1533-position model. The record is from RNAcentral.